GAUGAACGCUAGCGGCAGGCCUAACACAUGCAAGUCGAGGGGUAGAACACUUCGGUGUUUGAGACCGGCGCACGGGUGCGUAACGCGUAUGCAAUCUACCUUAUACAGGGGAAUAGCCCAGAGAAAUUUGGAUUAAUGCCCCAUAGCAUUACGACUUGGCAUCAAGAUGUAAUUAAAGUUCCAACGAUAUAAGAUUAGCAUGCGUCCCAUUAGUUAGUUGGUAAGGUAACGGCUUACCAAGACGAUGAUGGGUAGGGGUCCUGAGAGGGAGAUCCCCCACACUGGUACUGAGACACGGACCAGACUCCUACGGGAGGCAGCAGUGAGGAAUAUUGGUCAAUGGUCGCAAGACUGAACCAGCCAUGCCGCGUGCAGGAAGACGGCCCUAUGGAUUGUAAACUGCUUUUAUACAGGAAGAAACCCUCCCACGUGUGGGAGCUUGACGGUACUGUAGGAGUAAGGAUCGGCUAACUCCGUGCCAGCCGCCGCGGUAA
Molecule: ribosomal RNA, 494 nt
Filed under: uncultured bacterium
Lineage: Bacteria
Description: partial 16S ribosomal RNA
Rfam family: Bacterial small subunit ribosomal RNA
Source: RNAcentral